RNAcentral lists this long non-coding RNA (1989 nucleotides) under Daphnia pulex (common water flea). Its description in RNAcentral is "uncharacterized LOC124191680". The record is from RNAcentral. Lineage: Eukaryota; Metazoa; Arthropoda; Branchiopoda; Diplostraca; Daphniidae.
UCAUACGUGAACGUGAUAGCUGAAAGCUGAUACCGCAGACUUCUGUAGUCUCUGAUAUUACCACACUGUUUUGGUUUCGGAUUUUGGCUUUAUUGUGUUGGUUGAUUCGUUACUUACUAAGACCAUGAUGUAGUUCGAGAGGCUAAAUACGUAGAUAUAGAUCUGGAAGCUUAUCUUUUGAUUUUUAACUUAGAUCAAUUACAUUUUUAAGGUGUGAAGGGGUAUAUAAGCUGACCAGAUGCAAGGUAGUUUAUCAUGAGAAAUAGUCACCUCCUUGAUUACAUGGGCGUGUCAUUUGACUAUUUUGAGAUAUUUACUUGAUAUUAUAUUUAUAUUUUGUGAUAUUGCAAUUUCAUCGCCAUUCAGGCCAGAAAGUUUAAUUUUUAUCAUACAUGUGAUAAUGACAGAUGGUUAGAUCCAAAUGCUUGACAGCAUUUGCUAAUGUAAACAGAUUUCUUUUCAGCCUCAUUCAUUCUGUAUUAUAUCCAGGUUCCUUUGGUGAGUAAUGGAAAUAACACUGCAGCUCAUCCGAAUAAAAUGCAUCAAGGGCAACGAAAGGGGAAUGGAGCCAUGGAUAUGCAAAGACUGGCUGGCUAAGGGGUUAAAGUUCUUUGAGAUAUAUUGAUGGGUGAACAAAGUUAGACAUCCUCAAUCAUGUGAAUGUUUCCUGAAAAGUUUUAUAGAGUCACAGAAAAUAUUCCUUAAAUUAGUUAUUUUUUCAUUGUGGGUGAUUUAACAGAACAUUUAAAGACAGUUAUAUAUAAUAUUCCGUUUUUUUAACGAUGGGAGUGGUAAAUGUAAUGGGUCGAUUUGCAUGAUUCUCCAAUAGGAUAUCUACUUCGAUCCUAAGUCUUAACUCUGGAUACCGGACGGUGGGUACAUCCAUCAAAUUGAUCCAGCAGAACGAAGUGCCUUAAAGUCGGAAAAGUUAGGCGGUUGCUUUCUACAGUAUAUGGAACGGCAGCGUGAUCAACUUGUAGCCAUCCUCACAGUUUUACUGAUUAGAGAGUAAAUCCGGGCUCUCGGUCAGUGUAGAAAAGGCGGUACGUGAAGUUUUCACCAACCUCGGAACUUGCAGAAGAUCAGGCAGCUUGUCUUCUACCUAUAAGUUACACACUAGUCACCUUUCCGUGCGAUAUGAAAGUGAAGGUUUAAGACGGUGAGGAGCGAAAUUGGCCGUGAAUUUUCCUGUUUGCGAUUUGUUCCGACUUCUAUUUUUAUUUAUUUUUAAAUUCCCGGACAGUUUAUUUUCAUUUCUAUUAAAAUUUAUUCUUUGUCUUAGGUUGGUAUUAAGAAAUUAUUGAAUAUUUGUAGGGGAUUUAGUUUGUUAGAGCCGCUGAACUGUAGAAAAACAUUUUGUGCGCUUAUAAUGUAAUGUAGGCUAAAGACCUCCUGUCAUCCUGCAUUUUUGGUCAUUUGACUUCGUUAACACUUGGGACAAAAUAAUUUAACUGAAAUACCUAUUACUGUUCGAGUAGGAUGAAAUUUUUUGAUGACUUCAGAUCAUAAUAUAUCCGGGACCAGUUUUUAACUAUUUUCAUAAACAUCCGCAUGACUUGUUCCGACGAAAACUUUUAUUUCUCCUUUUCUAUCAAACUGCCUCCUUUCUAGGGUGUUUUAUAGACUUUCUCGAUUCGAUUCUUAUUUACUUUCGAAAUUUGAGAUUGAGUAUUAUUCCUUUAGUUUUACUCCCUGCUUUGUCCGUGUUUUCUCCUUAUCUUUCAUGGAAGAAGAUUCACUUAUACCUUUCAAUGUUUAACAAUUAAUGGGUACAUAUCCUCCCCUGUCUUAACCCCUCCCCCCUCUUUUUUGUGUGUGAUCCGUGUGCGUAUUUUUUCGUCAGGACUGGAGAGUUUGGAAGUUGUGAUGAGAGGGUAUGUGUCUUAAGAAGUUAAAAAAAAGAAACAAGUUCCAGGAAUGAUUUAAAUGUGUGUAACCCCUUCACACUCGUUUUUUCCGGCGUGUUGGAGUAAACGAUGGAUAAACUAA